Salvia hispanica is the source of this 1939-nucleotide RNA transcript. It is a transcript of the gene named kinesin-like protein KIN-14R, with no coding region annotated. Lineage: Eukaryota; Viridiplantae; Streptophyta; Magnoliopsida; Lamiales; Lamiaceae. The record is from RefSeq and is a predicted model, not a curated record.
CUACCCAAUUUGGAACUCAAAUCCCUAACUUCUCAAUGCACUUCCCUCUCUCGCCUUCUCUCGUCGUCGGCGUAGCCGUUGUCCCUCCCUCUCUCAAUCCCACUCUCUUUCCCUCUCUCUUCUCACGGAGCGGAUCCCAAAUUACAACCCAAAAAUCCGCCGCAACUUCUCUCUCUCACUCAAACCAGCAACACACAUCACAACAUUUUCUCCCUCUCUCUCGGCCAAUUUCUUGCCCUUAAUGCUUAUUCUCUAAACCCUAAACCCAUUGUGGAGACACCAGUGCCGGUUCCUUGGUGAGCCUAUGGAUAUCAUGACUGCUCUGUGACCUGAAGAUGGGAUUGAAUUCGGAGUUCUUUAGAGCAAUGCAAUCUCUUCAGUGACAAGAAUUUGUAGACGUAUUGAAUUUGCUUCUUGUCGAGCUCUAUUUCCCAAAAUUGCUAGGGCAUUGUGAGAAGCAUAUGAGGCAAGUUGGCUAUGUCGCUGGCACACCGAUAUUCUGCAGCUAUGCUUCGAAGCCGGCGCGUGGCAGCAGAUUCUGCUCAUUUCCAAGCGCUUGAAACAGCUUGGGUAGAUUUUGUGCAGUGUCGGAUUUGUUUUAUUUUGUUGAUAUUUUUUCAAUAAUAUUCUUGUUUUAGCAUUCUCAUCAUUAACCUUUUGAUUAAUUUGGUUUGAGAUGAGAUGAAAAGUCGAUUGUUUUCAUUUACCCUUUAAGGUUCAGUAUUUAGUACUAGUACGAAGUUGAAAACGGCUGUAUGCGUUUUUUUAACUCGUUCAUGGCUUGAUUAGUGAUGUUGCUGCAAGCUCUUUUGCUGCCUUGUAGAUUCUUUAUCGCCUGUUAUUUAUUAUAUGGCCCCACUCACUCUCUCUCUCCCAGCAUGCUCAGUAUAUGGUAAGGAAAAAAAACUUAAUCACCGGAGAGUGCACGAAAAGCAAACUUUGGCUUGAGGACUUAGUAGGAAGUGAGAGGCUUGCAAAAACUGAUAUACAAGCUUUCAGGAACUCAAAGCUGACCUGUUUAUUCAAUUUUGCGACCCGAGUUAGAGGUGUUGAGUUGGUCCUGCUAGAGAACAAGUUGAUAUACAAGAGCUCCUAAAGAUAAAAACAAUGCUUGAGAAAGCUCAACUGGAAUGCAAGGCCAAAGAUAAUCUUUAAAAAAGGCUUGAAGAAAAUCAACAGAACCUUGAAAUCAAAGCUAAGGGAAAGGAUCAGUUUUACAAAAAAUAUUGGAAGAAACUAAAAGAGUUAGAGGGCCAAGUAGAGUUGAACUCAUCACUGCAAUGCCAAUAAGAGAGAAAGGUUUCACAUCUUUUGGAGAAGUUAAAAGGGAAAGAAGAAUCGUGUUCCAAACUUAAACACAAGGUCAGAUAAAACGAGAGAAAAAUAAAAGCUGAAAAAAGAGAAAAAAAGCUGAAACAACAAUAGAGAGAAAAAAAGACUGAAAUAGCACGAGGAAAAUCAUUCUACAACAUACAAAAAGAAGGUCUGAGAAGAAGCUGAGUGAGCAAAUACAACAAUUUGUGAGUCCAGUUCUCAAACACUUGAACACGAGGUUCCUUGCACUUGUUAAUGCAUUCAUUUUUUUGGAAAAGUGUGAUCCAACCCAAGUACAUUUUAAAAGAUAUACACGUAUAACAAAUGUUCAAUAAUUUCCUUAGGUCAAAGAGCUUGAAAGGAAGCUGACAUAAAAAGAAGAAAAUAAGGAUAUUCACUUCCUCUGUUUAGGGUAUAGGGUUUAGGGUUUAGGGUUUAGGGUUUAGGGUUUAGGUAGCUUGUAACGUGUUUAGGGUUUCGAGUUCGUGAUUGUGAAUCUGUGAUAGAGUUGUGUCCGAAUAACAAUUAUACGUCUAUUCUCUCAAACAAAUGGGAUAUCUUCAAGUGCCGAGUUCAUUUAAAGAUCCAUUUUUAUGUCCAAAUUACCACUACAAGGACAUUAAUU